This 214-nucleotide long non-coding RNA is filed under the name Lupinus angustifolius (narrow-leaved blue lupine). RNAcentral describes it as "long non-coding RNA (LANG_LNC001589)". Lineage: Eukaryota; Viridiplantae; Streptophyta; Magnoliopsida; Fabales; Fabaceae. The record is from RNAcentral.
GUGAGGGAAGAGAGGGGAGGGAUGGAAACUUGAAAAGGAAUAUAGUUGUUGGGAAAAGGGAAAAGAAAAAAGGGAAAAAGUAGUAGAAUGGAAUGGUAGUGCUUGUUUGUGCUAGAAUGAGAAUUAAUGUGGUUGUGAAAUUGGUAACAGAAAUGGGAGUGAGUGAAUGAGUAAUAGAGAGAGGAACACUAAACAUAAAACUUAGGACACGGAC